RNAcentral lists this ribosomal RNA (718 nucleotides) under Enterobacter hormaechei. RNAcentral describes it as "bacterial SSU rRNA". It matches the Rfam family "Bacterial small subunit ribosomal RNA", at positions 45 to 751 of the family's 1533-position model. The record is from RNAcentral. Lineage: Bacteria; Pseudomonadati; Pseudomonadota; Gammaproteobacteria; Enterobacterales; Enterobacteriaceae.
GGCCUAACACAUGCAAGUCGAACGGUAACAGGAAGCAGCUUGCUGCUUCGCUGACGAGUGGCGGACGGGUGAGUAAUGUCUGGGAAACUGCCUGAUGGAGGGGGAUAACUACUGGAAACGGUAGCUAAUACCGCAUAACGUCGCAAGACCAAAGAGGGGGACCUUCGGGCCUCUUGCCAUCGGAUGUGCCCAGAUGGGAUUAGCUAGUAGGUGGGGUAACGGCUCACCUAGGCGACGAUCCCUAGCUGGUCUGAGAGGAUGACCAGCCACACUGGAACUGAGACACGGUCCAGACUCCUACGGGAGGCAGCAGUGGGGAAUAUUGCACAAUGGGCGCAAGCCUGAUGCAGCCAUGCCGCGUGUAUGAAGAAGGCCUUCGGGUUGUAAAGUACUUUCAGCGGGGAGGAAGGCGAUAAGGUUAAUAACCUUGUCGAUUGACGUUACCCGCAGAAGAAGCACCGGCUAACUCCGUGCCAGCAGCCGCGGUAAUACGGAGGGUGCAAGCGUUAAUCGGAAUUACUGGGCGUAAAGCGCACGCAGGCGGUCUGUCAAGUCGGAUGUGAAAUCCCCGGGCUCAACCUGGGAACUGCAUUCGAAACUGGCAGGCUAGAGUCUUGUAGAGGGGGGUAGAAUUCCAGGUGUAGCGGUGAAAUGCGUAGAGAUGCUGGAGGAAUACCGGUGGCGAAGGCGGCCCCCUGGACAAAGACUGACGCUCAGG